ACCGGCUUCGGCCGGGAGUAGAGUGGCGAACGGGCGAGGAAUGCGUUUCUAACGUGCCCCAAGGUCGAGGAUAGCUCGGGGAAACCCGGGGUAAUACUCGAUGACCCCCAUGGAUCGCAUGGUUCGUGGGGCAAAGGCUUGCUGCCUUGGGAUCGGGAAACGCCCUAUCAGGUUGUUGGUGAGGUAACGGCUCACCAAGCCUAAGACGGGUAGCGGGUGUGAGAGCAUGACCCGCCGCAUCGGGACUGAGACACUGCCCGGACUCCUACGGGAGGCUGCAGCAACGGAUAUUGGGCAAUGAGCGAAAGCUUGACCCAGCAAUGCCGCGUGCAGGAGGAAGCCCCUCGGGGUGUAAACUGCUGUCAGGGUUUAGGAAGUUCUGACCAAACCCAAAGGAAGGGCCGGCUAACUUCGUGCCAGCAGCCGCGGUAAUACGAAGGGCCCAAGCGUUAAUCGGAAUCACUGGGCUUAAAGGGUGCGCAGGCGGAAUGGUCAGUGUCUUGUGAAAUCCCACGGCUCAACCGUGGAACUGCAGGGCAUACUGCCAUUCUUGAGGCCGGUAGAGGCCGCCGGAACUCUAGGUGUAGCGGUGAAAUGCGUAGAUAUCUAGAGGAACGCCAAAGACGAAGGUAGGCGGCUGGGCCGGUUCUGACGCUCAGGCACGAAAGCGUGGGGGAGCAAACAGGAUUAGAUACCCUGGUAGUCCACGCCGUAAACGUUGUGCACUAGGUGCUGGAGGUUCUGACACCAUCAGCGCCGAAGCGAAAGUGAUUAGUGCACCGCCUGGGGAGUACGGUCGCAAGGCUAAAACUCAAAGGAAUUGACGGGGGCUCACACAAGCGGUGGAGCAUGUGGCUUAAUUCGAGGCAACGCGAAGAACCUUAUCCUGGGCUUGACAUGCAUGGAUUAACGCUGGGAAACCAGCGCCACACUCUUUGAGUGGAACAUGCACAGGUGCUGCAUGGCUGUCGUCAGCUCGUGCUGUGAAGUGUUGGGUUAAGUCCCUUAACGAGCGAAACCCCUGUCGCUAGUUACCAUCAGGUAAUGCUGGGGACUCUAGCGAGACUGCCGGUGUCAAACCGGAGGAAGGCGGGGAUGACGUCAAGUCCUCAUGGCCUUUAUGCCCAGGGCUGCACACGUGCUACAAUGGCGCCGACAGAGCGAAGCAAAACCGCGAGGUAGAGCAAAUCGCAAAAAAGGUGCCCCAGUUCGGAUUGCAGUCUGCAACUCGACUGCAUGAAGCCGGAAUCGCUAGUAAUCGCGUAUCAGCAACGACGCGGUGAAUACGUUCCUGAGCCUUGUACACACCGCCCGUCAAGUCAUGGAAGCCGGGAGUACCCGAAG
Molecule: ribosomal RNA, 1344 nt
Filed under: uncultured organism
Description: bacterial SSU rRNA
Rfam family: Bacterial small subunit ribosomal RNA
Source: RNAcentral